GACGAACGUUGGCGGCGUGCUUAAUACAUGCAAGUCAACUGAAGCAGUGGUAGCAAUAUCGCUGUGGAGGUGGCGCACGGGUGAGUAACACGUAGGUAAUCUGCCUUCAGGUCUGGCAUAACUCCGGGAAACCGGGGCUAAUAGCAGAUGAUGCAGCGGCUCGACAUCGAGACAGUUGUUAAAGCUAUGGCGCCUGAAGAUGAGCCUGCGUCUGAUUAGCUAGUUGGCGGGGUAACGGCCCACCAAGGCAACGAUCAGUAGCUGGUCUGAGAGGAUGAUCAGCCACACUGGAACUGAGACACGGUCCAGACUCCUACGGGAGGCAGCAGUAAGGAAUAUUGCUCAAUGGGAGAAAACCUGAAGCAGCAACGCCGCGUGAGGGACGAAGGGCUUUUGCUUGUAAACCUCUGUAGUGAGAGAAAAAAAUCCCAAUCUUUGGGACAUGAUGGUAUCUCAAAAGUAAGCCCCGGCUAACUACGUG
RNAcentral lists this ribosomal RNA (481 nucleotides) under uncultured bacterium. RNAcentral describes it as "partial 16S ribosomal RNA". It matches the Rfam family "Bacterial small subunit ribosomal RNA", at positions 28 to 507 of the family's 1533-position model. The record is from RNAcentral.